This 200-nucleotide unclassified non-coding RNA is filed under the name Hevea brasiliensis (rubber tree). Lineage: Eukaryota; Viridiplantae; Streptophyta; Magnoliopsida; Malpighiales; Euphorbiaceae. The record is from RNAcentral.
AGAGAGCACCCACAAGAUCACCUAGACGAAGAAGAGGAGAAGGAACAGAAAGAUUUGAACUUUCGGCGGAGGAUGAAGAAAGCCAAACCAACCCUAGACCAGAAAUCAGUGAUAGUUAAAUCAUGUGCAUAUAUAUAUAUAUAGGGACAGUGAUGUGGUUUGCAGCCUGUGAUAUCCACUUUUGGUUUUGGAUAGACAUC